RNAcentral lists this small nuclear RNA (77 nucleotides) under Ailuropoda melanoleuca (giant panda). RNAcentral describes it as "U4 spliceosomal RNA". It matches the Rfam family "U4 spliceosomal RNA", at positions 1 to 77 of the family's 138-position model. From Rfam's summary of the family: U4 small nuclear RNA (U4 snRNA) is a component of the major U2-dependent spliceosome. The structure of U4 snRNA from yeast and human has been reported. U4 snRNA presents a k-turn RNA motif in the 5p-SL related to recognition of Snu13 protein. The record is from Rfam by way of RNAcentral. Lineage: Eukaryota; Metazoa; Chordata; Mammalia; Carnivora; Ursidae.
AGCUUUGCGCAGUGGUGGUAUCGUGGCCAAUGAGGUUUAUCCAAGGCACAAUUAUUGCUAAUUGAGAAGUGUUCUUU